RNAcentral lists this ribosomal RNA (122 nucleotides) under Capitella teleta. Lineage: Eukaryota; Metazoa; Annelida; Polychaeta; Capitellidae. The record is from RNAcentral.
GUCUACGGCCAUACCACGUUGAAAACACCGGUUCUCGUCUGAUCACCGAAGUUAAGCAACGUCGGGCCCGGUUAGUACUUGGAUGGGUGACCGCCUGGGAAUACCGGGUGUUGUAGACUUUU